Non-coding RNA from Mycena maculata, 120 nucleotides. NCBI's taxonomy places the organism in Eukaryota, Fungi, Basidiomycota, Agaricomycetes, Agaricales, Mycenaceae. The record is from the annotation of a GenBank genome assembly.
GGUGAGAUGGCCGAGCGGUCUAAGGCGCCAGACUAAGGAUCAGCUUCUACUGAAGCUAAACUUGGAGAUCAUCCUCCAAUCUGGUCCUCCGGGGCGUGGGUUCGAAUCCCACUCUCAUCA